Molecule: long non-coding RNA, 687 nt
Organism: Cyprinus carpio (common carp)
Lineage: Eukaryota; Metazoa; Chordata; Actinopteri; Cypriniformes; Cyprinidae
Source: RefSeq, a predicted model, not a curated record
GUUUGUUUUUUUCCAUAUACAUAUUUUCUUCAUUGUUUUAAAGGGUAAUGGAGUCUCUGAAUCUUUUGCGGUAUUUAUUGAUACAGGAAAGAAAAUUUUCUAAUGUGAUAUGGACAGACCUUUGCCACAUUGCAGACAGUUACACAAAAUUAUUACGACUAUGUCUAAGCAUGUCAAAAUCAUACUAUGGUACAGAGUUGAAAAGACAUAGGGAAGACAAAAAGAUUAAGACUAAAGAAUUUAAGGAGGCCUCUAGGAAGAGAUCAGUUCAGAGCUUGCUUGUGAAGGCACUUGCAACAUGCCAUGUGAGGCACAGGAUAAGAUUAUCAAUUCCACUUAUCUGUAUUCAGUUUUUAAAAUAGUGACAGUAAGUCAUAAAACAAACUGUACUAAACAUAUCAUUUGCAGGUCUUGCAGUGUGCCUUGGUCACAUAUGACCUAAUGGAAAGCCUUGUGGUCCAUAUAGAGGAAAUCAGUGAGGACAGUCAAAAAUGAAAUGGGGACAAUUGCUGCUUUAUGAACUGAAUAAUGUAUUUAUUAAUUGAUUUAUUUACCAUCUCUGUAGCAUGACACAUUUGUAACAAUAAAGAGCAAUGUGAGAGCUAUUAAUAUCAAUAAUAUCAAUAUUUACAAUAUUAUUCUGUAUUCUGACUUUGAAGACCUUUUAAAUAAAAGAUGGACAUUUUU